UACGGAGGAUCCGAGCGUUAUCCGGAUUUAUUGGGUUUAAAGGGUGCGCAGGCGGGAGAUUAAGUCUGCGGUGAAAUUUUGCAGCUCAACUGUAAAAGUGCCUUCGAAACUGGUUUCCUUGAGUGUGGAUGAAGUAGGCGGAAUUUGUGGUGUAGCGGUGAAAUGCAUAGAUAUCACGAGGAACUCCGAUUGCGCAGGCAGCUUACUAAGCCAUAACUGACGCUCAGGCACGAAGGCGUGGGGAUCAAACAGGAUUAGAUACCCGGGUA
Molecule: ribosomal RNA, 269 nt
Filed under: uncultured prokaryote
Description: partial 16S ribosomal RNA
Rfam family: Bacterial small subunit ribosomal RNA
Source: RNAcentral